GUUAAAAAGCUCGUAGUUGGAUUUCUGCGGGGACGGAGCGGCCGGACGCAACUUGCGUCUCGAGCUAGCGCUUUCCCCGCAUCCUGCCGCGAACCGUGCUACCAUUAGUUUGGUGGCGCUGGGGAUCGGCUCGAUUACUUUGAGAAAAAUAGAGUGUUCAAAGCAGGCCACACGCCUUGAAUAAGUUAGCAUGGAAUAAUGACUAAGGACUUCGGUUCUAUUUUGUUGGUGUUCGGGACUGAAGUAAUGAUUGAUAGGGACAGUUGGGGCGGUCUGUAUUCCAAAGCGAGAGGUGAAAUUCUUAGACCUUCGGAAGACAAACAGCUGCGAAAGCGUUCCGCAAGGAUGUUCCCUUUGAUCAAGAACGAAAGUUGGGGGAUCGAAGACGAUCAGAUACCGUCGUAGUCUCAACUAUAAACUAUACCAGCUAGGGAUCGGCCAACGUUUAAUUAUUCGACUUGGUCGGCACCUUAUGAGAAAUCAAAGCAUCUGGGUUCCGGGGGGAGUAUGGUCGCAAGGCUGAAACUUAAAGGAAUUGACGGAAGGGCACCACCAGCCGUGGAGCCUGUGGCUUAAUUUGACUCAACACGGGAAAACUUACCAGGUCCAGACAUAGGAAGGAUUGACAGAUUGAUAGCUCUUUCUUGAUUCUGUGGGUGGUGGUGCAUGGCCGUUUUUAGUUGGUGGAGUGAUUUGUCUGCUUAAUUGCGUUAACGAACGAGACCCCAGCCUGCUAAAUAGCGCGGCCGAGCUUUGCUCGGUGCGAGCUUCUUAG
This 775-nucleotide ribosomal RNA is filed under the name uncultured eukaryote. RNAcentral describes it as "SSU rRNA". It matches the Rfam family "Eukaryotic small subunit ribosomal RNA", at positions 618 to 1414 of the family's 1831-position model. The record is from RNAcentral.